GCGCCAAUAGCUCAGCUAGGUAGAGCAGCGGACUCUUAAUCCGUAGGUCGAAGGCUCGAUCCCUUCUUGGCGUA
This 74-nucleotide transfer RNA is filed under the name Myxococcales bacterium. Its description in RNAcentral is "tRNA-Lys". It matches the Rfam family "tRNA". From Rfam's summary of the family: Transfer RNA (tRNA) molecules are approximately 80 nucleotides in length. Their secondary structure includes four short double-helical elements and three loops (D, anti-codon, and T loops). Lineage: Bacteria; Pseudomonadati; Myxococcota; Myxococcia; Myxococcales. The record is from RNAcentral.